AUAAGCGUGCUGUUACCUGAACAAAAUGGCUUGUAAAUGUGGAUGUGGAUGUGUUUGUAAGGGCUGCGCUGGAACAGCUGCCUGCUGUGGAAAGAAGUGUUGUGCCAAGUGUAAAUGUUAGACGAUGAGGUUAUUAAGGCUGAUACUGACAGAAGAUGGCCUGCAUGGAGUAUUAAACUAAUGUUAAAUUAAAAACUCUUACUAAUUUGAUCUACUAAAAUUAUAAUAAAUGACGUAAUUAUCUAAUGUAAUAUAUAAUUUCUAAUGUAAUAUAUAAUAUGAUAUAAUGAACUGAUUUUAGUUUAUCUUAAAUUUCAAA
Long non-coding RNA from Bolinopsis microptera, 319 nucleotides. RefSeq lists it as uncharacterized. The record is from RefSeq and is a predicted model, not a curated record. The transcript has 2 exons. NCBI's taxonomy places the organism in Eukaryota, Metazoa, Ctenophora, Tentaculata, Lobata, Bolinopsidae.